CGGAGGGUGCAAGCGUUAUCCGGAUUCACUGGGUUUAAAGGGUGCGUAGGCGGAUAAGUAAGUCAGUGGUGAAAUCUCCGGGCUUAACUCGGAAACUGCCGUUGAUACUAUUUAUCUUGAAUAUCAUGGAGGUAAGCGGAAUAUGUCAUGUAGCGGUGAAAUGCUUAGAUAUGACAUAGAACACCGAUAGCGAAGGCAGCUUACUACAUGUUAAUUGACGCUGAGGCACGAAAGCGUGGGGAGCAAACAGGAUUAGAUACCCUGGUAGUCCACGCCCUAAACGAUGGAUACUCGACAUCAGCGAUACACUGUUGGUGUCUGAGCGAAAGCAUUAAGUAUCCCACCUGGGAAGUACGACCGCAAGGUUG
RNAcentral lists this ribosomal RNA (368 nucleotides) under uncultured organism. Its description in RNAcentral is "bacterial SSU rRNA". It matches the Rfam family "Bacterial small subunit ribosomal RNA", at positions 526 to 896 of the family's 1533-position model. The record is from RNAcentral.